UACAGAGGUCUCAAGCGUUGUUCGGAAUCACUGGGCGUAAAGCGUGCGUAGGCUGUUUCGUAAGUCGUGUGUGAAAGGCGCGGGCUCAACCCGCGGACGGCACGUGAUACUGCGAGACUAGAGUAAUGGAGGGGGAACCGGAAUUCUCGGUGUAGCAGUGAAAUGCGUAGAUAUCGAGAGGAACACUCGUGGCGAAGGCGGGUUCCUGGACAUUAACUGACGCUGAGGCACGAAGGCCAGGGGAGCGAAAGGG
Molecule: ribosomal RNA, 253 nt
Filed under: uncultured bacterium
Lineage: Bacteria
Description: partial 16S ribosomal RNA
Rfam family: Bacterial small subunit ribosomal RNA
Source: RNAcentral